GUGUCUAAAUUUCAGCAAUUGCUUAGUGUAUCGAAUGGGAGGAACCUCACUUGACAUCACUGUAUUGAAGGUGAUGGGAGGAAUCUACCAACUAAGGUCAAAUAUUCACAGAGCUUCUGUUGGAGGGAAUACAUUAACAAGGUUACUGAGAGAUUUUUGUGCACAGGAAUUCCAAAAGCAGUACAGGGUUGAUAUCCGGGAGAGUAAAAGAUCUUUGUGGAAACUACAUAGUGCAGCAGAAACCUGUAAACACGUUCUCAGUACCAUAGGCUCGGCACAGUGUUUUGCUGAAUCUCUGCAUGAAGGCAUUGACUUUAGUAUCAAUGUAACUAGGUAAAAAAAUCAGUUUCAUUUAUUUUACAACAGUGU
This is a long non-coding RNA of Limulus polyphemus (Atlantic horseshoe crab), 369 nucleotides long. RefSeq lists it as uncharacterized. The transcript has 3 exons. The record is from RefSeq and is a predicted model, not a curated record. NCBI's taxonomy places the organism in Eukaryota, Metazoa, Arthropoda, Merostomata, Xiphosura, Limulidae.